Molecule: unclassified non-coding RNA, 1445 nt
Filed under: uncultured fungus
Lineage: Eukaryota; Fungi
Description: sequence contains 18S rRNA gene, ITS1, 5.8S rRNA gene, ITS2, 28S rRNA gene
Rfam family: Eukaryotic large subunit ribosomal RNA (bases 502-1445)
Source: RNAcentral
GGAAGGAUCAUUACCGAGACGAGAUCGGGGGGGCGUAAAAACCCCCUCCGCUGAUCGUAUCACACCCUUCUUAACACGCACCUCAUGUACUUCCUCGGCGGGGCGACCCGCCGGCGGAACGUUCGCAAACCCUUUUCGUGCAUCCGAGCAGUAAUCGUUCCGAUGAAAAACACAAUCGUUACAAUCUUCAACAAUGGAUCUCUUGGCUCUGGCAUCGAUGAAGAACGCAGCGAAAUGCGAUAAGUAGUGUGAAUUGCAGAAUCCAGUGAAUCAUCGAAUCUUUGAACGCACAUUGCGCCCCUCGGUAUUCCGUGGGGCAUGCCUGUUCGAGCGUCAUUUCGAAACUCAAGCAAUGCUUGGUGUUGGGCGUCUGUCCGCGCUUCCAGCGCGCGACUCGCCCCAAAGACAUUGGCAGCCCAGGCCGUCCGACCCGCCCGCAGCACAUUGCGUCCGGCGAGUCGUCGCGGUCCAGGCGAUCCAGCAAGCUCCCCUUCUCAGUUUUGACCUCGGAUCAGGUAGGGAUACCCGCUGAACUUAAGCAUAUCAAUAAGCGGAGGAAAAGAAACCAACAGGGAUUGCCCCAGUAACGGCGAGUGAAGCGGCAACAGCUCAAAUUUGAAAUCUGGCCUCCUUUGGGGGUCCGAGUUGUAAUUUGCAGAGGGUGCUUUGGUUGUGGCGGCGGUCUAAGUUCCUUGGAACAGGACAUCGCAGAGGGUGAGAAUCCCGUACGUGGGCGCCUGCCACUUCCGUGUAAAGCCCCUUCGACGAGUCGAGUUGUUUGGGAAUGCAGCUCUAAAUGGGAGGUAAAUUUCUUCUAAAGCUAAAUACCGGCCAGAGACCGAUAGCGCACAAGUAGAGUGAUCGAAAGAUGAAAAGUACUUUGGAAAGAGAGUAAAAUAGCACGUGAAAUUGUUGUAGAGGAAGCGCUUGCAGCCAGACUUCCCCGUAGUUGCUCACCCGGGCUCCUGCCCGGGGCACUCUUCUGCGGGGAGGCCAGCAUCAGUUUGGGCGGUCGGAUAAAGGCCCCUGUCACGUACCUCCCUUCGGGGAGGCCUUACAGGGGGGGCGUAAUGCGACCAGCCCGGACUGAGGUCCGCGCAUCUGCUAGGAUGCUGGCGUAAUGGCUGUAAGCGGCCCGUCUUGAAACACGGACCAAGGAGUCUAACAUCUAUGCGAGUGUUUGGGUGUCAAGCCCGGGCGCGCAAUGAAAGUGAACGGAGGUGGGAACCCUCACGGGUGCACCAUCGACCGAUCCUGAUGUCUUCGGAUGGAUUUGAGUAAGAGCAUAGCUGUUGGGACCCGAAAGAUGGUGAACUAUGCUUGAAUAGGGUGAAGCCAGAGGAAACUCUGGUGGAGGCUCGCAGCGGUUCUGACGUGCAAAUCGAUCGUCAAAUUUGGGCAUAGGGGCGAAAGACUAAUCGAACUAUCUAGUAGCUGGUUCCUGC